UAAAUAAAUUAUUAUUAUUAUUUUAUUAUUUUAUUUAAAAUAACAAAAGUAAUUUUUAUGUUUUAUUAACAUAUGUGAAUAAAUAAAUAUUAUUAUAGAUUAUUAGUAUUGAAAAAGAUUUAAAUAGGUUUGUUUAAAGAAUAAUUAAUUUUUAGUACCUUGUGUAUCAGGGUUUAUUAAUUAAAAUUUAUUUACAGUAAGUUUCUCGAACUUAAAAGAGCUAUAUAUAUAUAAUUUUUAUUGUUGAAUAACUAUUAUAAAUAUAUAUAUAGAAGUGAAACAUUAUUCGAUUUUAAAUAUAUCUAGUUUUUAAAGAAAAAAAUUUAAUUUUAUUUAUAUUUAAUAUUAAGGUUAAUUUUUAAUUUAAUAUUAGUUAUAAAUUUAUAUUUCAGGGGAUGAGCUUUGAAGUAGAUUCAUAUAAAUAUUUAUUUUAAUAAUUUAGUAAGUAGAAUUAUAAGUUUUUAUCUUUGAUAGUGUUUUAUAACUAUCUAAAUUUAAAAUAUUAUUUUUAUUCAUUUUAUUUUAUCUAUUUAAAUUUAAAUUUUAAUUUUAAAUAUUUAGUAAAAAUGAUAAAAUUAGUAUAAUUAAAUUGUUAAAUUUUAUUUAAAUUUAAGGUUUAAUAAAGGAAUUCGGCAAAUGUAUUUUUCACCUGUUUAUCAAAAACAUGGCUUAUUGACUAUAAUUUUAGGUCUAACCUGCUCAAUGAAUUUUUAAAUAGCCGCAGUAUCUUAACUGUGCAAAGGUAGCAUAAUCAUUAGUUUUUUAAUUGAAAGCUGGAAUGAAAGGUUGGAUGAGAAAAUAGCUGUCUCUGUUAAAAUUUUUUAGAACUUUAUUUUUAAGUUAAAAAGCUUAAAUUUUUGUAAAAGACGAGAAGACCCUAUAGAGUUUUAUAUUUAUAUUUAGUAUAUUUUUUGGUAUUUUAAAAUUUACUGAAUUUAUAAUAUUUAGUUGGGGUGAUUGGAAAAUUAAAUAAACUUUUCUUUUAGGUUUAACAUUAAUUUAUGGUUAAUUGAUCCUUUUUAAAGAUUAUAAGAUAAAAUUACCUUAGGGAUAACAGCGUAAUUUUUUUUGAGAGUUCUUAUCGAAAAAAAAGAUUGCGACCUCGAUGUUGGAUUAAAAUUAAUUUUUGGUGUAGGAGCUAAAUAAAUUAGGUCUGUUCGACCUUUAAAAUUUUACAUGAUCUGAGUUCAAACCGGUGUAAGCC
RNAcentral lists this ribosomal RNA (1204 nucleotides) under Sirocalodes umbrinus. RNAcentral describes it as "partial 16S ribosomal RNA". The stretch from base 1050 to 1204 matches the Rfam family "Archaeal large subunit ribosomal RNA", at positions 2544 to 2698 of the family's 2987-position model. The record is from RNAcentral. Lineage: Eukaryota; Metazoa; Arthropoda; Insecta; Coleoptera; Curculionidae.